UGCAACAUAGGGUCAUGACUUCUUUGAUUGUGCCAAUCUGUCAGUAAUUUGAUCUUCUCUUUCUGUACUGCUUUCUACUUUAUCUAGCAUUAUUACCCUUUCCAGUGAGUCAUGCUAUGAUACAUUCAAUCAUGACUUCAGUUUAGUCUAAACCAGACUACUUUGUUCAUAUCUAUCUGUUCUAUCAUCAGUCUAUCUUUCUGUCUCUCCAAAUAGAUCCCAUAUUCCCCAUUAGUUCAAUAGAAAUAAAUUGAAGCCUAUUUAGAUAAAUGCAUGGGAGUUCAUAAGGAUAACAUCUGGAUAUUUACAUCAAAAGAUGGCACAUAUAAGUAGAUCAAAUAGAUUUUCUUCUCAUAAAAUUCUGUCUCAGUUUUGUCUCAACUGAGUAAUGACAUCAGGCAGGCUCAUUCAUUAAAAUGAAUGGAAGGCUCCAAAACAAAAAUGUUUAUAACCUUUUGAAGUAAGUGAUACGAUAGACAUUGCCAUCUAAAGAGUUUACCCAUAAGAUCAUCAAGAUAUGCCCCUCAAUGGCAGAAAUUUAAAAGUUUUUAAUGCAAAGUAUUUGGAUAGCUCUUUUGACUUGAUAUAUAUGUAUUUAAAUGAGAAAAUGAAUUCUUCACUAAUUUUAUUCUUGUAAGAAGCAACAAGUAAUUCUGACAAUUUUCUUUCUUCUGUAAAAGUAUUUUUUAAAAGAUUGUUUAUAGUUUGGGAUUUCUUUAUAAAAAUAAUGUGUGUUAUGUUUGUGAAGAGAACAGGUGAUUCUGAAAAUGCUGUAGUUGUUCUGCACAAAUCUAAAUUAUAUAUGGAUUGUUGUGUGCAGAAAACGUGGGGGGGGGGGUUUGUAUAGAAAACAAUACAAUUUUCUGCACAGAAAAUGUGACUUCCUGCAGAAGAAGGUAACGUGUCUAGAAAGCACCAGAUUGAAGAAGGAUAAAAUGGCUCUACUAUUAAAGCCUAGUCAUUGAGAAUGUAGCUGCCAGAAUAUUUAAGCAAUAGGCUAUUUAAGCAAUAGUCCAAAAACAAUAUACUAUUUAAGCUAUAGUUCAAACAUGAGUAUUCUUAACAGUGGAAAAAUUGUGAGAACAUAGACAUAUUCCAGAACAGUACAAUCUACCACUGUUUAUGUUCAAUACAUACAUUGUGCAUUUUGUUUUUCUUAUAUAAUUUUAUACUCUUUGUCCAAGAAGUUAUUUCCAUGAAAUGAGUUGGCAAGUUGCUUAAGCAUUUGUAGUGGCAUAAUCUAUACCAGUUUUCAGUACAGCUGAAAUAUCUUUCUUUGUGCAUAAAAUGGGAAAAAUGUACUUCACAUAAAGCAGUGUAUGUUCUGGAUCCAGAUGUUGUCCAGAUAGUUCCAAAAAUAAAAUAAAUGUCAUUUGACUUAGAAGGAAAUUCAGUUAAUUAACUGAGAGUAAUUUACAAACAAGUGUUUUGAGGACAUUGUUUCCUUCAGGACAAAAGGCAAUAAAUAUUAUUUAUUGAUUUGAAAAUCUGGCUUAUUUUAACCUAACUCUGCUCGCUGCUUGCAUUAAUGUAUAUCUUUUUCAAUCUGUUUUUAGAUACUAGCUAAUGAAUCUCCACAAUCCCUCGGAGAAUUGAGGAGGCUGAAAUUUUCAUAGCUGUCUGUGAUUAAUGAAGUGUAGUUGUCAAAAUAUGUAGGCUAUGAGAGAGCGGUAAGACUGGAGGGGCUGGGACACUGAGCAUGUAUUGCUCUUGUUUUUCUUUUCUUUUUUUAGACUCGUGUUAAAUAUUACUUGUUAGUUUGGUUUCUCAUUUAUAAACAGUAACAAUUUCUGUGAAAACAUAUACUUUUGUUAUAUUUGUUCUAUAUGCAAAACUGCUCUCCUGCAUACACUGGGAUGGUAAAAUAGAGAAGGAACACGAUUAGAGGGAGCUCUAAAGAUGAAUGCCAAAAAUCAUCUUUCUUUUUGAAAGAAUGCACAACUCUCAAUACCACUUCCCAGCAACUAGCACAGAUCAAGAUUAGAGCAUUUACACUGUAGAAUUAAUGCAGUUUGACACCAUUCAAAACUAUGAAUCCUGGAAGUUGUAGUUUUACAACAUUUUGAGCAUUCUCUGACAAUUAAUGCUGGUGCAUCACCAAACUACAGCUUCUCCAAUUCCAUAGUAGUCAGCCAUGUCAGUAUAAAGCGGUAUCAAACUGCAUUAAUUCUUCAGUAUUGAUGCAUCCAGUGUCUCACUUCCUUAUUUCCAGUAAAAUAUUACUACUUUGGGAAUAAUGAGAGGAGGAGAUAGUGGGAGAGGAGGAGAAUCCCACCCCCGAUGUCACUUGAGUGCCACCGCACCAUCACAGAACUGGAACAACCUCAUCUAACCAAAUCCUGGCACCAGUGGAAGAGAAAAAAACAAUCCUCUGCUCUACAUUGCUCCAAAGGAAAACCACACAGGAGCUUAUUGUACGUGGGUAAUGAACCUAUAUACAUACUCCAAGUUUCCUGUUCCUGGCGGCUAAGCCGAGCCGCAACUCCCAUUUCAAACCGGAGUAAAUUCACUUCCUUGCCUUGUUCCUGAAUCAAGAUUGGUUUUAACGUCGUCUCAUUCCUGCCUGGAUAUCAAAGACUUCCUAGUGACUUUGGACCUUGUUAUUCACUCUUGCUCACUGUUUGUUUUUCCCCGCUCAAGAACUUUCCAACAGUUUUGACUGUGUUUCAGUUUCUGGACUUUGGACAAUAAUAUUGGACCUUUCUCUUCAACUCUUUGGACUAAUUCAUACCUUUUCAUAAAGGACUAUUGCUCACUCAUCCUUUCCAUUUAUUCAUUCCUGAAUUUAUAAUUGUUUUAAUAAAGAUAUUAUAAGAUUA
Long non-coding RNA from Anolis carolinensis (green anole), 2819 nucleotides. RefSeq lists it as uncharacterized. The transcript has 3 exons. The record is from RefSeq and is a predicted model, not a curated record. Lineage: Eukaryota; Metazoa; Chordata; Lepidosauria; Squamata; Anolidae.